RNAcentral lists this ribosomal RNA (830 nucleotides) under uncultured bacterium. Its description in RNAcentral is "bacterial SSU rRNA". It matches the Rfam family "Bacterial small subunit ribosomal RNA", at positions 54 to 873 of the family's 1533-position model. The record is from RNAcentral.
CAUGCAAGUCGAGCGGAUGAGAGGAGCUUGCUCCUUGAUUUAGCGGCGGACGGGUGAGUAAUGCCUAGGAAUCUGCCUGGUAGUGGGGGAUAACGUUCCGAAAGGAACGCUAAUACCGCAUACGUCCUACGGGAGAAAGCAGGGGACCUUCGGGCCUUGCGCUAUCAGAUGAGCCUAGGUCGGAUUAGCUAGUUGGUGAGGUAAUGGCUCACCAAGGCGACGAUCCGUAACUGGUCUGAGAGGAUGAUCAGUUACACUGGAAUUGAGACACGGUCCAGACUCCUACGGGAGGCAGCAGUGGGGAAUAUUGGACAAUGGGCGAAAGCCUGAUCCAGCCAUGCCGCGUGUGUGAAGAAGGUCUUCGGAUUGUAAAGCACUUUAAGUUGGGAGGAAGGGCAUUAACCUAAUACGUUAGUGUUUUGACGUUACCGACAGAAUAAGCACCGGCUAACUUCGUGCCAGCAGCCGCGGUAAUACGAAGGGUGCAAGCGUUAAUCGGAAUUACUGGGCGUAAAGCGCGCGUAGGUGGUUCGUUAAGUUGGAUGUGAAAGCCCCGGGCUCAACCUGGGAACUGCAUCCAAAACUGGCGAGCUAGAGUACGGUAGAGGGUGGUGGAAUUUCCUGUGUAGCGGUGAAAUGCGUAGAUAUAGGAAGGAACACCAGUGGCGAAGGCGACCACCUGGACUGAUACUGACACUGAGGUGCGAAAGCGUGGGGAGCAAACAGGAUUAGAUACCCUGGUAGUCCACGCCGUAAACGAUGUCAAUCUAGCCGUUGGGUUCCUUGAGAACUUAGUGGCGCAGCUAACGCAUUAAGUGACCGCUGGAACC